RNAcentral lists this ribosomal RNA (756 nucleotides) under uncultured archaeon. RNAcentral describes it as "bacterial SSU rRNA". It matches the Rfam family "Archaeal small subunit ribosomal RNA", at positions 102 to 859 of the family's 1478-position model. The record is from RNAcentral.
GGAUAACUACCCUUAGGACUGGGAUAACCCUGGGAAACUGGGGCUAAUACCGGAUAGGCAAUUUUUCCUGUAAUGGUUCUUUGUUUAAAUGUUUUUUCGCCUAAGGAUGGGUCUGCGGCCGAUUAGGUAGUUGGUUAGGUAAUGGCUUACCAAGCCGUUGAUCGGUACGGGUUGUGAGAGCAAGAGCCCGGAGAUGGAACCUGAGACAAGGUUCCAGGCCCUACGGGGCGCAGCAGGCGCGAAACCUCCACAAUGUGAGAAAUCGCGAUGGGGGGAUCCCAAGUGCCAUUCUUAACGGGAUGGCUUUUCACUAGUGUAAAAAGCUUUUGGAAUAAGAGCUGGGCAAGACCGGUGCCAGCCGCCGCGGUAACACCGGCAGCUCUAGUGGUAGCAACUUUUAUUGGGCCUAAAGCGUCCGUAGCCGGUUUAAUAAGUCUCUGGUGAAAUCCUGUAGCUUAACUGUGGGAAUUGCUGGAGAUACUAUUAGACUUGAGACCGGGAGAGGUUAGAGGUACUCCCAGGGUAGAGGUGAAAUUCUGUAAUCCUGGGAGGACCGCCUGUUGCGAAGGCGUCUAACUGGAACGGUUCUGACGGUGAGGGACGAAAGUUAGGGGCGCGAACCGGAUUAGAUACCCGGGUAGUCCUAACUGUAAACGAUGCGGACUUGGUGUUGGGGUGGCUUUGAGCUGUUCCAGUGCCGAAGGGAAGCUGUUAAGUCCGCCGCCUGGGAAGUACGGUCGCAAGACUGAAACUUAA